CGUAGGUGGCAAGCGUUGUCCGGAAUUAUUGGGCGUAAAGCGCGUGUAGGCGGUUUCUUAAGUCUGAUGUGAAAGCCCUGGGCUCAACCCAGGAAGUGCAUUGGAUACUGGGAGACUUGAAUACGGGAGAGGGUAGUGGAAUUCCUAGUGUAGGAGUGAAAUCCGUAGAUAUUAGGAGGAACACCGGUGGCGAAGGCGGCUACCUGGACCGAUAUUGACGCUGAGACGCGAAAGCGUGGGGAGCAAAACAGGAUUAGAUACCCUGGUAGUCCACGCCGUAAACGAUGAGAACUAGGUGUUGCGGGUAUUGACCCCUGCAGUGCCGCAGCUAACGCAUUAAGUUCUCCGCCUGGGAAGUACGGUCGCAAGACUA
RNAcentral lists this ribosomal RNA (373 nucleotides) under uncultured organism. Its description in RNAcentral is "bacterial SSU rRNA". It matches the Rfam family "Bacterial small subunit ribosomal RNA", at positions 526 to 896 of the family's 1533-position model. The record is from RNAcentral.